UGAGACUGGGGCCUCGCUCGCUCCCGACCCGGUUGCAAGUGUUGCGGUGGGAGAAAGUCGCGUCCGCAUCGGAGGGGAAGCGCCGUCAUGCCUAAGUAUUAUGAGGACAAGCCGCAGGGCGGCGCGUGCGCGGGCCUGAAGGAGGACCUGGGCGCGUGUCUGCUGCAGUCGGACUGUGUGGUCCAGGUAGCGCGGCCGGGCGCUCCCGGUGGUGACGACCCCUGUCCCAGGCAGGCCUGGCUCGGCGGAGGGCAGCGGGUCGCCCGCGGCGGCGGUUGGAGUUAACCAUCCCGGGCGUAGGUCACAGCUCGGGCUCACUGAACGUGCGCAGAUCCACUGAGCUGUCGGAGCCCCAGUUCCCUGUGGGGUUAAAUCGGAGAUAACGAUAAACGCACCCUGUCGGGUUUUUGUAAAGGUUAACCCAUUUCAGUUCACGAAGCCUUUAUUGAAUGCUAGCACUCUACUAGGCUUUGGAGACAUAAAGGAGAAUAAGCCAGGUUUCUUGCCUGCCUAGAAAUGAUAAUCUGUAGAAUUAAUGAUUCCAGAGAGUUGCGUAAACCUGGUACACUGCCCUGGCCAGUAGUGUCUCCUGCCUGUUCAGUUGUGACAAUGUGUGCUCAGUUUGACUUGUGUUGAUGUGAAUUUGUUUCUGAGUUACAGUUCUCUGCAUUCUUGGAUGUUAAGUUGUAAAAAUAAGGCAACUCCAUAUUUUCACGAUUUCGUAUCUUGCUUCCCCUACACUCUUCCUUCACUCCCCGGCUACAGACACAGGUCUCCUCAGCACCCUCUUGGAAUGCACUGAAACAUGUAGUGAGGUUCACAGUGGACCUGAGUUCUGGAUUAGAGCUCAAGUAAAGCACAAGUGCCUUUUCCAAUUGCAGAGGCCCGACGAGAGGGCAUUCAAUUGUGUGCAAUUGUCUUUGCAUUGGGGGAUGUAGUUUCAGAAAGUUGCUGUUAUUUCAGAGAAAAGAUUACCCCCAAAUGGACAUCCACUGUAAGACUGUACCAGUGUUUCUACCGAGUCACAAUUUGUUUGGUUCACUGAUUUUAGCAGUCAGCCAUUCUCGCCUCCCAAUGUCUAGUAAAACUUGAGUUAUUAUAAAUUUAAGAGAUUAUCUCGCCCAACUUCCUUAUAUAAAUGAGGAAACUGAAGUACCGUUGUUUUCAGGCUCCCCUGUCCAGGGCUGUGUCCCUUCUGCCCCUUACUCACUGGUGCUGCCGUUCAGCCAGCUCCUGGUAAAUGCCUCUUAAGUGGCAGGCAUGGUACCUGACACUGGUGAUAACGAAGAUGAAUCAGUAACAGUCACUACCCAUGUAAGCUUGGUGUCAUGGGAGAAAUAGACAUCUAAGGGUCUAAAUUCCUGCCAUAAGACUGUAAGCAUUUAUUAAACAUGUGUUUAAUGACUAGAUCUUGAGGAGAAAAAUGCGUUAGCCCAAGGGAGAGCGUCUGAUUUUGCUUCAGAAUUUGGAAUCUUCUGAGAUGACAUUUGAGCUGAGUCUUAAAAGUUGAGUAGUAGUUUAUCAAGUAAAGGAGUGGGAACUGUUGUGGUUGUGGGGAAAAUCUGAAAGAACAGCAAGUGCAGAGGCAGGGAGAUGUGGGAGGGCGCAGAGGAGCUAGUGUCCUGCCAUAGGGGAAUGCGACAGAAGGCCUGAGGGGAAGGUUGCAGCCAGGUGUGAAGGCCUGUAUGUGUGUCAGAGUGAGGAGACUGGAUUUUAUCCAGACGUUCAGCAUCGGAAGGCCAUGUUGAUGAGUAGUCAAGGGAAGAAAGUACACUGAGUAGGACUGAGGAAAGAAACUCCAAGUGGAGGACAAUAGCAGCAGCACAGAGAAUUCCAAGCUGGCUUUCUGCAGCGGUUGAUACAGCAAACAUGUACGGAGCGCCAGGCUCCAGUUCAGGGAACAAAUACUGAUGAAUGGAACAUGGUCUCUCCAGUAUAGAAAGCGGAGCUGUUUGGCUAGAAUGCUGUAGGCAGAGAUUAUGGUUGGGACAGCUGGUACAGACUUUGCUUUUCCCGCCAUUGAAUAUGUGGCCUUACCAGUGCUCAGUUUGGUCAGCCAGAAAACGUGAUGCUUAUAAGCAGUUCUUUAGAUGGAAGUUCGUAUACAGUUUGUGUUAAAUUCAUUCUGAAUGCUGACUUCAGCUGGAUUGUAAAAGGGCAAUAGUGAGGAGGUUUGCAGGUCCAGAACAAUCUCCUACAAUCUGUUGGCAGCUACUGCCCACUGCUCCUCACUGGGGACUCUGAAAGACCAAGGAAAGCUCUGCUGAGGUCUGUGCUUGCUCUGUGUGGCAACCUUAAUUAUGAUGGAAAUUUUUGAUUUCUUAAGUUCUUGAAUAAAAAGGUUAAUCUGAUCCUAUGGCAGGUUGGUGCUGUAGUCUCUUCUUGCCAGUCUUUAACCCACCUGAAACCUGCAGCACCUCGCUCUAGGGAGGAAUUCAACAUAAACAUGUAUUUAGUUCUAGGUGCUGCUUUGGGAGACUGUCAAGGAGUUAGAGGGCCUCAGAGAAACUCAGGGUAAUGGUAAGGAUGUAAAUUCCAGUGGGGCUGGAGGAAAGCAGGGAAAAAGCAGAUUCAAAAGGCAUCUCUUGAAGAGACUUCUUAGGAUUUAAUGACUCCUGGAUGAUCAGGACAAUGAAACUCUGCCAGAGGAACUUCACUCAUCAUAGGGUAUCUUCGUCUCCACUAACAGCUUCCAGAUCCACUGACUCUUCAUCAGAAUCACCUAGAAGUGGUGUGGCUUUUUAAAAGUACAGAUUCCACUGCUGCCCUCACCCUACCCCCAAUAAGUUAAAAGUUUCUUUCCUAGGUUGGUUUUGGGCACAGCCAUGUUUGAGAGCACUGACUGAUCUUGACCUCAGAAGGCAAAAAAGCUUGGGAGUGUAUUAGUUAGAAUAUAGAUUCAAGUGCAUGUUACAGAGACCCAGAAUAAUAGUGGCUUAAACGAGAUAGAGAACUUUCUCUUUUGUCCUUGUGCCUAUAAUCAGGGCCUAGUCAUUUCCCUCAGUCUUCCAUGAACGCAGACACUGUUGAUCUUGUGACUCUGUGCUGUGAAAAUAGGAAAAUAUAGCAAGUAGGGUGUUACUCUCAUAUUCAUGGUCCAAGACUGGUUUGCUUCCACAUCAUCAGGCCCGGCAACCUUAUGGAGUGAAGUGAGGAAAGGGGCAAGCCUCUUUAAGGACCAACCCAGAAGUUCUACACCUGUUUCCCACACAUUCCAGUGGCUAGAACUUAGUCACAGGACCACAGCUAGAUGCAAGGGCGUCUAGGAGAUCUCACCCAGCCAUAUGCUGGAUAAAAAGGAAGAGCAGACAGCUAGCAGUCUGUUAUUUGGGGUGGAGUGGAUAACGAAUGACUGUCUCUUAGCUUUAGUGUAUCUAGAUGGAUCUUUACCCCAGGCAGUUGACAAUAUAGGUUGAAAGCUUUUGAAAAAGGUAGCAUCUUAGAUACAGUUUGAAGAGGCAUCAGCUUAUAAACUAUAGUUAUAACCUUUUAUAUGGUUAGUCUUCUUUUGUCUGCCUCCACGUCGUUCAUGUGGGCAACACAUCCCACCAGCAGAAUUGCAGAGUUUGGAGAGGAAGGAAACCUGCUACUCUUAUCCACUUUUGAGAGUCACUGAGGUAGAUGACAUUUGAUAUCUAGGACCCAGGCAGACAUACAGACUGGAAGGUGGCCAAGACUCCUGGGGAACAGGAAUACCACAGACAUAGUACCCUGUAGCUUUUCAUAGGAAAAACUGGCAGAGCGUGCCUGGCACUUGCAACAUAAAGGUUCUGGGGAGUGGCUGCAGUGAUGCGGCUGUAGAGUCAAAAUCUGCUUGAGGGAAAAUCCCUGAUUAUGCAGAGCAGAUGAGCUUUGGGUUAUAUUUUUUCUGGUGCAUGAAUGGGCCACAUGUUUCUAUUUAAGUAGUAUUCCAGCCUGCCUUGUUAAUAUCUUUGUGAAGUGUUUCGUGCCAACACUAAAAAUAUUCUGAUUUUAGGGUACCCAGUUCACACAUUUCACCCAUAAGGAAAUGAAGAUAACCCUUUCUAGAUUUUUAUAUAAACAGUUUAAGGAAAAGUAUCCAAUAGAAACCAGUGUUUUCAAGAAUUCAACAGUGUCCUUAAAGUUCCCAAGUUACUUUACAAUUUUUUUUUCAUUCUUUAGGCACCAAUAGCCCAAAUGAAUUAAGAACUAUUUCCUACAUAACUUUCUAUUUUCCUCCUUUAACACUUUUAAAAAGGACUAUUUUCAGAAGGACAAUUAUUUUGUACUUUGUGAGAAAAUUUCCAAGGUGUUUAUAUUGUUUUAUGUGUCUGUCAUAGGAAGGAAAAUCACCUCGGCAGUGUUUGAAGGAAGGAUACUGCAACUCUUUGAAGUACGCAUUUUUUGAGUGUAAAAGAUCAGUGUUGGAUAACAGGGCAAGAUUCAGAGGAAGAAAAGGAUAUUGAUGCAUUAUGUUGAAGCCAACAUGGAAAACAACAAAUAUUUUCCCUGGUCAUUAACACAAAGAAGCCAAAACAGGAAACAUACUUUUUACUACAUCUGUUUGGUUGGACCAGAUUUCCCCUCCGUGGAACACUGAAGAAAGUGGAUGAGUUGUUUUCGAAUAUGUAUAAAGUAAAUGAUUCUCUUGAUCCAAGUUAUUUUUAGAAGAAAAACCUAAUUGAACAGGUAUGGGUUGGGAGCAUAAUAAAUGUGUUUUGAGAAUUGUUCUAAAGCACAGAAAAUGGAAAGACUGUUAUUUGCAAACUUGACUCUUCAAUUGAAUUACCCAAUUAGUACAGGCCACUGAUUUGACUGACACAGUCGAUAACAUGCAGCCUAUCCAGAAGGUGUCUGUUGGGAAAGUUUAGGAUAAAACUUUUUCUUUAGUUCAGUCUUUUCCUGUCUAGUUCUAAAAUGAAUUGUGUUUGAUUCCUUAGAGAAGAAAUACUUCAUUUGUGCUCUGAUUCACUGAAGUAAUAACCUCAGCACUUUAAUAGCGUCCACAGGCAUAGCUGAUGCUAGGCCCCAGAUUGUGUUGCCCAGGCUCUUUACCAUCAUCUUCGGACUGUUUUUGUUUCCUGGUUACAUUUUCAGUCUGGCCCGCUCUACAUAAUGGGCCAGUGUCAGCUCCAAGUCCACAUCCUUAUUAUCCAUGAUUCAAAAGGGAGAGAGAGAACUUCCUUUUUCAGGGUCCACAAAUCAAAUCUAUAAAAGGACUCUGGUCUUCCCAGGAUCACCUGCCCUUGCAUUGGACCAGUCCCUGUGGAAGAGGGGAUGGGGGCCUGUGAUCUUGGCCAGGCCUGGGCUAUCUAUCUGCACUGUCAUUGCUAACUCCUGUCAGAAUCACAUGGAUGAGUAGUGGGCUGAAUCCCAAAAGGAAAGGGGUUUAGAGCAAGUGGAAACAACAGAUGUUCACUAUAGAAAGCAAGAAUGAAAACCAUGAAGUGGUUGAAGAUUAGCCUUACAGUAAUUUUAUUCUGAUCACUUAAUACAGUAGAGUCAAACAGGAAUCCAAGUUUCCAACUUUAUUAUUUUUGGCACUGAAGAAUUACAAAGAACUCUAGCGUCUUUAUACCUCCGUGGUUCACUGGAGUUAAAGCAAUCGGGGCGUUGUACAGCUCACUUGAGUUUUUAAAGGUUCUACUAAAAAGUGAGAAUUCCACAGCAAUAUGGGUCAUUGUUGCAGAAUAUCACAAAGGUCUGUUGUGUAUACUCCUUUUCACCAGGAAAGGGACAAUAAUAGUUUUUUUCAAUGUAUAUAUAUAUAAGUGAUCUAACUUUUUAUUAAUAAAAGUAAACAACUCUAAAAUGU
Molecule: long non-coding RNA, 5776 nt
Filed under: Homo sapiens (human)
Lineage: Eukaryota; Metazoa; Chordata; Mammalia; Primates; Hominidae
Description: non-protein coding lnc-MGAT4A-1:2
Source: RNAcentral